GUAGUCCACGCCCUAAACGAUGUCGACUGGUUGUUGGGGGUUUGACACUCUCAGUAACGAAGCUAACGCGUGAAGUCGACCGCCUGGGGAGUACGGCCGCAAGGUUAAAACUCAAAGGAAUUGACGGGGACCCGCACAAGCGGUGGAUUAUGUGGAUUAAUUCGAUGCAACGCGAAAAACCUUACCUACCCUUGACAUGUCCGAGAGUUCGCUGAGAGGCGAAUGUGCCCGAAAGGGAAUCGGAACACAGGUGCUGCAUGGCUGUCGUCAGCUCGUGUCGUGAGAUGUUGGGUUAAGUCCCGCAACGAGCGCAACCCUUGUCAUUAGUUGCUACAUUCAGUUGGGCACUCUAAUGAGACUGCCGGUGACAAACCGGAGGAAGGUGGGGAUGACGUCAAGUCCUCAUGGCCCUUAUGGGUAGGGCUUCACACGUAAUACAAUGGCGCGUACAGAGGGUUGCCAAGCCGCGAGGUGGAGCCAAUCCCUUAAAGCGCGUCGUAGUCCGGAUUGCAGUCUGCAACUCGACUGCAUGAAGUCGGAAUCGCUAGUAAUCGCGGAUCAGCAUGUCGCGGUGAAUACGUUCCCGGGUCUUGUACACACCGCCCGUCACACCAUGGGAGUGGGUUUCACCAGAAGCCGGUCGCCUAACCGCAAGGGGGGCGCCGACCACGGUGAGAUUCAUGACUGGGGUG
This 692-nucleotide ribosomal RNA is filed under the name uncultured bacterium. Its description in RNAcentral is "bacterial SSU rRNA". It matches the Rfam family "Bacterial small subunit ribosomal RNA", at positions 790 to 1482 of the family's 1533-position model. The record is from RNAcentral.